RNAcentral lists this transfer RNA (77 nucleotides) under Pseudomonadota bacterium. RNAcentral's name for it is "Proteobacteria bacterium (wastewater metagenome) tRNA-Ile". It matches the Rfam family "tRNA". From Rfam's summary of the family: Transfer RNA (tRNA) molecules are approximately 80 nucleotides in length. Their secondary structure includes four short double-helical elements and three loops (D, anti-codon, and T loops). Lineage: Bacteria; Pseudomonadati; Pseudomonadota. The record is from RNAcentral.
GGCCCUAUAGCUCAGUUGGUUAGAGCACCCGGCUCAUAACCGGAUUGUCCCAGGUUCAAGUCCUGGUGGGGCCACCA